GAUGAACGCUGGCGGCGUGCCUAACACAUGCAAGUCGAACGGAGCUGCUUUGAUGAAGUUUUCGGAGGGAUUUAAAACAGCUUAGUGGCGGACGGGUGAGUAACGCGUGGGUAACCUGCCUCACACUGGGGGAUAACAGUUAGAAAUAGCUGCUAAUACCGCAUAAGCGCACGGUUCCGCAUGGAACGGUGCGAAAAACUCCGGGGGUGUGAGAUGGACCCGCGUCUGAUUAGCCAGUUGGCGGGGUAACGGCCGACCAAAGCGACGAUCAGUCGCCGGGCUGAGAGGGUGAACGGCCACAUUGGGACUGAGACACGGCCCAAACUCCUACGGGAGGCGGGAGUGGGGAAUAUUGCAGAAUGGGGGAAACCCUGAUGCGGCGACGCCGCGUGAGUGAAGUAGUAUUUCGGUAUGUAAAGCUCUAUCAGCAGGGAAGAAAGUGACGGUACCUGAAUAAGAAGCCCCGGCUAACUACGUGCCAGCCGCCGCAGUAA
RNAcentral lists this ribosomal RNA (494 nucleotides) under uncultured bacterium. RNAcentral describes it as "partial 16S ribosomal RNA". It matches the Rfam family "Bacterial small subunit ribosomal RNA", at positions 28 to 523 of the family's 1533-position model. The record is from RNAcentral.